RNAcentral lists this ribosomal RNA (214 nucleotides) under Tissierella creatinini. RNAcentral's name for it is "partial 23S ribosomal RNA". It matches the Rfam family "Bacterial large subunit ribosomal RNA", at positions 1 to 211 of the family's 2925-position model. The record is from RNAcentral. Lineage: Bacteria; Bacillati; Bacillota; Tissierellia; Tissierellales; Tissierellaceae.
AUAGGUCAAGUUAUUAAGAGCAUAGGGCGAAUGCCUUGGCACCAAGAGCCGAUGAAGGACGGGAUAAGCACCGAUAUGCUUCGGGGAGUCGCAAAUAGACAUUGAUCCGGAGAUUUCCGAAUGGGGAAACCUACUUGAGCAACCCUCAAGUAUCGCAUGCUGAAUUCAUAGGUAUGCGAAGGAAGACCAGGGGAACUGAAACAUCUAAGUACCC